AUUGAACGCUGGCGGCAUGCCUUACACAUGCAAGUCGAACGGCAGCACGGGAGCAAUCCUGGUGGCGAGUGGCGAACGGGUGAGUAAUAUAUCGGAACGUGCCCAGUCGUGGGGGAUAACGUAGCGAAAGCUACGCUAAUACCGCAUACGAUCUACGGAUGAAAGCGGGGGAUCGCAAGACCUCGCGCGAUUGGAGCGGCCGAUAUCAGAUUAGGUAGUUGGUGAGGUAAAGGCUCACCAAGCCGACGAUCUGUAGCUGGUCUGAGAGGACGACCAGCCACACUGGGACUGAGACACGGCCCAGACUCCUACGGGAGGCAGCAGUGGGGAAUUUUGGACAAUGGGCGCAAGCCUGAUCCAGCAAUGCCGCGUGCAGGAUGAAGGCCUCGGUUGUAAC
This 397-nucleotide ribosomal RNA is filed under the name uncultured bacterium. RNAcentral's name for it is "bacterial SSU rRNA". It matches the Rfam family "Bacterial small subunit ribosomal RNA", at positions 30 to 429 of the family's 1533-position model. The record is from RNAcentral.